GCUCCCUUGGUGUAACUGGACAACACGCGGGCCUUUCGAGCCCGAACGCCGGGUUCGAUUCCCGGAGGGAGUA
This 73-nucleotide transfer RNA is filed under the name Halomicrobium zhouii. It matches the Rfam family "tRNA". From Rfam's summary of the family: Transfer RNA (tRNA) molecules are approximately 80 nucleotides in length. Lineage: Archaea; Methanobacteriati; Methanobacteriota; Halobacteria; Halobacteriales; Haloarculaceae. The record is from Rfam by way of RNAcentral.